This 397-nucleotide ribosomal RNA is filed under the name uncultured bacterium. RNAcentral describes it as "partial 16S ribosomal RNA". It matches the Rfam family "Bacterial small subunit ribosomal RNA", at positions 523 to 918 of the family's 1533-position model. The record is from RNAcentral.
AUACGUAGGGGGCGAGCGUUGUCCGGAAUGACUGGGCGUAAAGGGCGUGUAGGCGGCGGUGUAAGUCUGGAGUGAAAGUCCCGCAUUCAAUGUGGGAAUUGCUUUGGAUACUGCAGUGCUAGAGUGCGGAAGAGGUAAGUGGGAUUCCCAGUGUAGCGGUGAAAUGCGUAGAGAUUGGGAGGAACACCAGUGGCGAAGGCGACUUACUGGGCCGUAACUGACGCUGAGGCGCGAAAGCGUGGGGAGCGAACAGGAUUAGAUACCCUGGUAGUCCACGUGGUAAACGAUGAAUGCUAGGUGUUGCGGGUAUCGACCCCUGCAGUGCCGGAGUAAACACAAUAAGCAUUCCGCCUGGGGAGUACGGCCGCAAGGUUGAAACUCAAAUGAAUUGGCGGGG